GUUCGCAACUAAUUGAUGCCAACUUUCUGACUGGAGUUUCGUUAUCAGGGAUAAUAUUGUAAUUAUAGCUCACUGGGAAACACUGUCAAUGUGCUGUUAAGUUGAGGGUAACAUUUGAGUAUUAAAUUAUUGGCUACAAAUUGACUACAACUUCCUCAGAAAUUUGGCGACAAUCUGCAGCCGCGAUAUGAAGACUACUCGAGGAAAUUUUCCUUCGCGUUGUUGGCUACUUUUUUUUACCUAACUAUUGCAUUCAGCUUGGAGAAAAGUUGCCGUCAAUUGUCGCGCACCCUAACGAGUUGCGAGAACGUUGACGUCAAUGGCACUAGACUUCGAUAGCUAUACUUUUCCUUCAAACACUUGAUGCUGAUUGUUUUCGGUUGAGGAACGUCAAGUUCUGGUGAUUCAAGUUUUGACUGCAAUCAAAAAAAUAAAGGUUUCAAAUCGAAAAAAGUUGAAACGUUAGACGCUGAGCAAAUCAAUCAAUUUUCGCACCAAGCUCCUGAUAAUCAGGUCUUGGCAAUUAAGGUGGCUUUGAUUUUUGUGUUUCAAGGUGCGUGCAGGCGUCAAGAACUUUGUGAUUUAACGGUGGACAAUAUAAUCGACAAAGGUGACAUGUUGUUGGUAAAAAUUCCGAAAACAAAAACUGGCAAAGCGAAAUCUUUUGUCGUGUCAGAUGAAUUUUAUCAAAUUUCUAAAAAAUACUCCUCUUCACGCCAAACAAACUUAGCUACCAAAAGAUUCUUCGUGGGUUAUCGAAACGAAAACCAUUAGCUACUCUGUUAGCGGAUUCUGGUGCUGAUCUUCUUACAAUAAAAAGGCACAGAAGAUGGAAAUCCAAUUCCGUUGUUGAAGGUCACGUGGAAGAGUCGGUAGGUAAUAAAAAACGAAUUGGUAAGCAAAUUGCACGUGCCAUAUCAUCGAGACCAUCUACUUCACGCGAAUAUUCGUGCAAAAAAAAAUUCUAAUUUAUAAUGAAUUUUAAUCUUAAGUUUAGAUUUAAAUUCAUAUUUUGACACAAAUAUGAAUUAGUCCUAAGAUCAAUCUAAAUAUGAGAUUGAUUUGUCGAUAGAAAUUAAGACGCCUGUAGAAUUUUUUGUUCACAUCAAAAUAUAACUGACGGAAUUAGAUUAUAAUAGGAAAUGCAUAACUUAUCAAGAAAGAAAACCAUAUUUUAAAAUUAUGAUUUGAAUA
This is an RNA transcript of Microplitis mediator, 1194 nucleotides long. RefSeq lists it as uncharacterized. Lineage: Eukaryota; Metazoa; Arthropoda; Insecta; Hymenoptera; Braconidae. The record is from RefSeq and is a predicted model, not a curated record. The transcript is spliced from 4 exons.